This 404-nucleotide unclassified non-coding RNA is filed under the name soil metagenome. RNAcentral's name for it is "partial contains 5.8S ribosomal RNA, internal transcribed spacer 2, and large subunit ribosomal RNA". The stretch from base 1 to 122 matches the Rfam family "5.8S ribosomal RNA", at positions 35 to 154 of the family's 154-position model. The record is from RNAcentral.
GAUGAAGAACGCAGCAAAAUGCGAUACUUGGUGUGAAUUGCAGAAUCCCGUGAACCAUCGAGUUUUUGAACGCAAGUUGCGCCCGAAGCCUUUUGGCCGAGGGCACGUCUGCCUGGGCGUCACGCAUCGCGUCGCCCCCCACAAUUCUCCGUAAAGGGAACAUGUGUUUUGGGGGCGGAUAUUGGUCUCCCGUGCUCAUGGCGUGGUUGGCCGAAAUAGGAGUCCUUUCGAUGGACGCACGAACUAGUGGUGGUCGUAAAAACCCUCGUCUUUUGUUUCGUGCUGUUGCUCGCAAGGUAAACUCUUUAGAAACCCCAAUGUGUCGUCUCUUGACGACGCUUCGACCGCGACCCCAGGUCAGGCGGGACUACCCGCUGAGUUUAAGCAUAUCAAUAAGCGGAGGA